AAAUGAAGGAUUAUUCCAUCCACCCCUAA
Molecule: transfer RNA, 29 nt
Filed under: Caiman yacare (yacare caiman)
Lineage: Eukaryota; Metazoa; Chordata; Crocodylia; Alligatoridae
Also listed under: 1 other name
Description: partial tRNA-Met
Source: RNAcentral